Molecule: ribosomal RNA, 253 nt
Filed under: uncultured bacterium
Lineage: Bacteria
Description: partial 16S ribosomal RNA
Rfam family: Bacterial small subunit ribosomal RNA
Source: RNAcentral
UACGUAGGGACCAAGCGUUGUUCGGAUUUACUGGGCGUAAAGGGCGCGUAGGCGGUUCGUCGCGUCGGCUGUGAAAACCUGAGGCUCAACCUCAGGCCUGCAGUCGAUACGGGCGGACUUGAGUACUGCAGGGGAGACUGGAAUUCCUGGUGUAGCGGUGAAAUGCGCAGAUAUCAGGAGGAACACCGGUGGCGAAGGCGGGUCUCUGGGCAGUAACUGACGCUGAGGAGCGAAAGCGUGGGGAGCGAACAGG